AAUAGAUACCCGGGUAGUCCACGCCGUAAACGAUGAGUGCUAAGUGUUAGGGGGUUUCCGCCCCUUAGUGCUGCAGCUAACGCAUUAAGCACUCCGCCUGGGGAGUACGGUCGCAAGACUGAAACUCAAAGGAAUUGACGGGGGCCCGCACAAGCGGUGGAGCAUGUGGUUUAAUUCGAAGCAACGCGAAGAACCUUACCAGGUCUUGACAUCCCAUUGACCGCUAUGGAGACAUAGCUUUCCUUUCGGGGACAGUGGUGACAGGUGGUGCAUGGUUGUCGUCAGCUCGUGUCGUGAGAUGUUGGGUUAAGUCCCGCAACGAGCGCAACCCUUGUUCUUAGUUGCCAUCAUUUAGUUGGGCACUCUAAGGAGACUGCCGGUGACAAACCGGAGGAAGGUGGGGAUGACGUCAAAUCAUCAUGCCCCUUAUGACCUGGGCUACACACGUGCUACAAUGGACGGUACAAACGGUUGCCAACCCGCGAGGGGAGCUAAUCCGAUAAAACCAUUCUCAGUUCGGAUUGUAGGCUGCAACUCGCCUACA
RNAcentral lists this ribosomal RNA (544 nucleotides) under uncultured bacterium. Its description in RNAcentral is "bacterial SSU rRNA". It matches the Rfam family "Bacterial small subunit ribosomal RNA", at positions 777 to 1320 of the family's 1533-position model. The record is from RNAcentral.